ACAACUCAGGUCUGUGGUUGCAAGUCGAUGCCAGUUGCAGGCGAAACGAUCCACGUAAGCAGCAAAAUUUUGCUGUGAGCACGGUGCAGCUUAGAAGUAAGUCCUGCCGCAAAAAAAAUUAUGGGCGAGAGAGGUAGUAGUGGGGAGCGGAAUGCUUAGGAGCGAACCUUCCAGCAGGCGAGUGUGGGGGCGAAAACCAGGUCAGCUGAGUUGU
This 214-nucleotide non-coding RNA is filed under the name unclassified sequences. Its description in RNAcentral is "raiA RNA". It matches the Rfam family "raiA RNA". The record is from Rfam by way of RNAcentral.